RNAcentral lists this ribosomal RNA (494 nucleotides) under uncultured bacterium. Its description in RNAcentral is "partial 16S ribosomal RNA". It matches the Rfam family "Bacterial small subunit ribosomal RNA", at positions 28 to 507 of the family's 1533-position model. The record is from RNAcentral.
GACGAACGCUGGCGGCGCGCUUAACACAUGCAAGUCGAACGGAAAGGCCUGCUUUCCCUUGUGGAUUGCGGGUACUCGAGUGGCGAACGGGUGAGUAACACGUGAGUGAUCUGCCCCCAACUCGGCUAUAAGCCUGGGAAACUGGGUCUUAUUCCCGCCAGCACCGCAGGGUGGUGCCUGUGGUUGCAAACGAUUUUCUAGUGGUUGGGGAUGAGCUCGCGGCCUAUCAGCUCGUUGGUGGGGUAAUGGCCUACCAAGGCGGCGACGGGUAGCCGGCCUGAGAGGGUGGGCGGCCACAUUGGGACUGAGAUACGGCCCAGACUCCAACGCGAGGCAGCAGUGGGGAAUAUUGCGCGAUGAGCAGAAGCCUGAUGCAGCGACGCCGAGUGGGGGAUGACGGCCUUCGGGUUGUAAACUCCUUUCGACCGCGAGGAAGCCACCUGGUUGGAGGGGUGGUGACGGUAGUGGUAGAAGAAGCACCGGCUAACUACGUG